Regulatory RNA element from Oscillatoriales cyanobacterium, 154 nucleotides. It matches the Rfam family "Ribosomal protein L10 leader". Rfam says of the family: This family is a putative r-protein leader autoregulatory structure found in B. subtilis and other low-GC Gram-positive bacteria. It is located in the 5' untranslated regions of mRNAs encoding ribosomal proteins L10 and L12 (rplJ-rplL). The record is from Rfam. NCBI's taxonomy places the organism in Bacteria, Bacillati, Cyanobacteriota, Cyanophyceae, Oscillatoriales.
AGAAUCAAAUAUUUGGAACCAGAGACAGCAGGUGAAUAUCGCUUAAUUUCCUGCCGAGGUUUCAUCAGCCUUUCAACUUUCUUGCUUUAUGCUGCAAGCUUGAAGUGUCUGAUGGAAUUCCCCGGCACAGUUGCCGGGGUUUUUUAUUGACUGA